GCCCGUGUAGCUCAGGCGGUAGAGCACUUGCAUGGUAAGCAAGAGGUCACCGGUUCAAUCCCGGUCGCGGGCU
Molecule: transfer RNA, 73 nt
Filed under: Candidatus Rifleibacteriota bacterium
Lineage: Bacteria; Candidatus Rifleibacteriota
Description: tRNA-Thr
Rfam family: tRNA
About the family: Transfer RNA (tRNA) molecules are approximately 80 nucleotides in length. Their secondary structure includes four short double-helical elements and three loops (D, anti-codon, and T loops).
Source: RNAcentral